This 227-nucleotide long non-coding RNA is filed under the name Manihot esculenta (cassava). RNAcentral's name for it is "long non-coding RNA (MESC_LNC001618)". The record is from RNAcentral. Lineage: Eukaryota; Viridiplantae; Streptophyta; Magnoliopsida; Malpighiales; Euphorbiaceae.
GGGGGUUUUGAGAUUGAUUUAAUUGAUCUAAUUCUGAAAGCAGUAAAAGUAAAGCGAAUAAUAAAAAUAAAGGGAAUUCAAUAAUGAAAAAGCUCUAGUUGAAGAGUUGGAUCCACUUCAGUUGUUGGGAUUGAUCAUUGAAACUUAUGUUCUUUUGAUUGAUUCAAUAGAUUAGUUAUGGAGAUGGAAAACGCUUCUCACCACCAUGUCUCUCCUUAAUCAUAAAC